CCCAUAGCUCAGUUGGUCAGAGCAGUCGACUCAUAAUCGAUUGGUCGUAGGUUCAAGUCCUACUGGGCCC
RNAcentral lists this transfer RNA (70 nucleotides) under uncultured Thiolapillus sp. It matches the Rfam family "tRNA". Rfam says of the family: Transfer RNA (tRNA) molecules are approximately 80 nucleotides in length. RNAcentral also lists the same sequence under 1 other name. Lineage: Bacteria; Pseudomonadati; Pseudomonadota; Gammaproteobacteria; Chromatiales; Sedimenticolaceae. The record is from RNAcentral.